GAGAAUUUUCUUGAUUUCAGCUUUUAACAUGUUGUGUUACAAUAUCUUCACUCAUUUCAUCUAUUCUUUGACUAACAGUAUUGUUACUGAGUGGCAUGGCUUGAACCACUUUGUCAUCUUUUUCCAGGACUGUUUUAAAAAAUGCUGAUAUUGAUAGUUUAAUUAAAUCCUCUCCAAUAGUAUGAUUAUGAUUUCUUUUCCACAUU
Molecule: long non-coding RNA, 206 nt
Organism: Octopus sinensis (East Asian common octopus)
Lineage: Eukaryota; Metazoa; Mollusca; Cephalopoda; Octopoda; Octopodidae
Exons: 3
Source: RefSeq, a predicted model, not a curated record